This 28-nucleotide non-coding RNA is filed under the name Mus musculus (house mouse). Lineage: Eukaryota; Metazoa; Chordata; Mammalia; Rodentia; Muridae. The record is from RNAcentral.
UGAGAAGUGUGCAUAGCUAAGCAGUCCU